This 516-nucleotide ribosomal RNA is filed under the name uncultured Atopostipes sp. RNAcentral's name for it is "bacterial SSU rRNA". It matches the Rfam family "Bacterial small subunit ribosomal RNA", at positions 353 to 860 of the family's 1533-position model. The record is from RNAcentral. Lineage: Bacteria; Bacillati; Bacillota; Bacilli; Lactobacillales; Carnobacteriaceae.
AGUAGGGAAUCUUCCACAAUGGGUGCAAACCUGAUGGAGCAAUGCCGCGUGAAUGAAGAAGGUCUUCGGAUCGUAAAGUUCUGUUAUUAGAGAAGAACAAGUCAAGGAGUAACUGUCUUGACUUUGACGGUACCUAACCAGAAAGUCACGGCUAACUACGUGCCAGCAGCCGCGGUAAUACGUAGGUGACAAGCGUUGUCCGGAAUUAUUGGGCGUAAAGGGAGCGCAGGCGGUUGGAAUAGUCUGAUGUGAAAGCCCACGGCUUAACCGUGGAAGGUCAUUGGAAACUGUCCAACUUGAAUGCAGAAGAGGUAAGUGGAAUUCCAUGUGUAGCGGUGAAAUGCGUAGAUAUAUGGAGGAACACCAGUGGCGAAGGCGACUUACUGGUCUGUGAUUGACGCUGAGGCUCGAAAGCGUGGGUAGCGAACAGGAUUAGAUACCCUGGUAGUCCACGCCGUAAACGAUGAGUGCUAAGUGUUGGAGGGUUUCCGCCCUUCAGUGCUGGAGUUAACGCAU